Molecule: RNA transcript, 1522 nt
Organism: Patella vulgata (common limpet)
Lineage: Eukaryota; Metazoa; Mollusca; Gastropoda; Patellidae
Gene name: trichohyalin
Exons: 11
Source: RefSeq, a predicted model, not a curated record
UUGCCUAACUGUUGACCUUCCCAACAGGUAUAAACAAAUGACAAAAGGUAAUUUGUUCAGGCAGGAUACUUGUAUAACUUCAGCUAUGGCCUCUGAUAACAUGAAGGACUUACAAAAACAGUUUGAGAAUGUUGCAGCUCGUUCAAAGUAUAUUGAAAAUGAUUUCAAGAAAUUGGCAGGUGCGAAAAAGGAAAAGGAUAAAAAAAGUGCUACAGAUUCAGUUUUGAAACAAAUUUCACAAACUGUGCCUUUGGUUCAUAAGCUUGAAGAAAGACUAGAAAAAACAAAACAUGAACUACAGACUAGUACCAAUAAAACAGAAGAUGAACAACAAAAAACAAAACAGAAGAACGAUACCAGUUCAGAUGACUCUGUGCUAACAUAUGAACUUAAAGCACAGCUUAUGAAAAAUGUUCAGGUGCAAAAUGAAAGAUUAAAGAUGGAGCUGGCACUACAAGAGAAAGUGGAUGAAUUAAAACUUAUAAAUGAACAAAAGUGUAAAUUACAAGAAGAUUGUAAUUUAUCAAGAAAUAAUUCUAUGAAACUUGUGAAUAUGUUUGAAAGAAAGGCGAAAGAAGAAUGUUUUACAGCAAAUAGUAAACUUCAAGCAAUGCAAGAGGAGCUGAAAAAGUCACAUGAAUUGACCAAUCGCUAUAGGGACUUAUAUGAAAGUGAAAGACAAAAACAACGUUCUCAAGGAGCAACGUCAAAGUCUGGUAACAAAACAGAUAAAGAAGAAACAAAAUUUGAAGGAAUAAAUAAUGAAGAAUCAAAAAAACCUGUUAAAGUAAAUCCUGUGCAGGAAAAUCCACACAUAAGACAGGAAGCACCAAAUUUUCAGUCAAUGUUAAGUCAUGGUGUGCGUGUUAAUGAUAUUAUACGAAAAAAUGAGUGCCUUUCUCAGGAAAAUGUUAGUUUACAAAAGGAAGUUUCACAGUUGAGACACGAAAAUAUUGAUUUAAUGAAGAGGGCAAAAGAAUCAAUGACUGAUAGAGAUACACUACUACAUCAACUUGAUACCAGUGAAAAAGUGAGAGUAGAACUAACAAAAAAAUUACAGAAAGAAAAAGCCCAGGCAUAGGUGUGUUCCUUAUUCCUACCAAAUUUCAACCUGAUACCUCAAAUAUGUGACAGAGAUACGCCAUCUUGAAUGUCAUGAUUAAGAAAGUUUUGGAAAAAGAUUCAUUCUAAAGUAAAGAUUCAAGGUUAUCAGAUAAAGCAUUCCUCGAUGGCUUAAUAGAUCACAGGUUAGGCCAGUUAGACUGGCUUAACCGCGCUUUGAAGCAACAGUUAGAACGAAGUAUUACUAAACAAGCUGCAGAUUGGAUUCAACGUAAAAAACAAGUUCAACAAUAUGAAGAUGAAUUUCGCUGGAGUCAGGUUGGCCAUGUUUCAUCAACUGGUGAACAAAGAUCAAGGUCACCUUACAAAUCUUAAUUUGACAUAUUAUUAACAACUGUUAUUUCUCUGGUUUAUAUUUUUUAAAGCUACAUACAUGAAAAAAUUAAUUUGAUUAUUGCCA